RNAcentral lists this ribosomal RNA (174 nucleotides) under Scinax elaeochroa (Sipurio snouted treefrog). RNAcentral's name for it is "partial 16S large subunit ribosomal RNA". Lineage: Eukaryota; Metazoa; Chordata; Amphibia; Anura; Hylidae. The record is from RNAcentral.
ACGUGAUCUGAGUUCAGACCGGAGUAAUCCAGGUCGGUUUCUAUCUAUAUUAGAGCUUAUUCCAGUACGAAAGGACCGAAAAAGCAUGGCCUAUACCCAAAGCAAGCCAUCACUAUUAAUUUUUGCCCCCCACUCAACUAACUAAUAAUCUACCACAUCCCCCAAGACCAGAGG